RNAcentral lists this long non-coding RNA (2735 nucleotides) under Mus musculus (house mouse). RNAcentral describes it as "long non-coding RNA chr16:78313517-78316252". The record is from RNAcentral. Lineage: Eukaryota; Metazoa; Chordata; Mammalia; Rodentia; Muridae.
AAAACUAUGUCAGCACCGCUUAUUUGAUAAUUACGAACAUUGCACGUUUUACAGAGAAGACAGGAAAAAAAUGUAAGCAUGAAAAUUAUUGUCUUAAACCUGCUCAUGGGGGAAAUAAAUCCAGUCAUGGCGGAGUGCCAAAUAACUGGAUACAAUGGCCCUGGUAAUGGUUGAGGAGGAGUUCCGGGACAUUAGGAAAGCAUUCCCACUAUAAUUAAAGCAGCCAGUUUAGGUGAGUGCGACCUCUGUGGGAUCGAGCAUUUCUUAUAUAGGGUGAAGCACUAUUUCCUGAUUUUGGUGCGUGUCUAUGUUAUGUUCCUUAUUUCAUUUGAAGGAUUCCUUACUGCUUCUGCCAAGUAGCUUCGUCCCAGCCUUGUGUUAAUGAGAAGGGAGAAGAAGCGAGUGAGCGGAGGUUUUCAUGAGCAGCGGGGCAAAGGACAUUUCCUAAGACGCAGUGUUACAUAGCAUUUUAUGAAGGUGAUGAAAAUAUUCACCAUGAAAACCCGUCGACUCUUACUUACACAUAACGCAAAACAACCUAUUUGCAUUUGUUUAGUCAGAGACAUUAGAAAUUAGCAGUCUUGAAUUACAGACCAACGAGAAAACAGUUGCUAUUUAGUAAAUAGGAAAGGACGAGAGGGGCUGGUCAUAGUUGAAAAGUGAAUGCUGCCUUUCAAGAGAGGGUCUUUGUGAGGGCUGUGGGUGGGGGAGGGGGGAUCUACUUCAGUGCCGCUGAUAUCUGAAUGCCCCUUGCCUGCCUUCCCAUGACUGUUUUCCUUAGUCCUGGCUUCUAAAUUCUAUGUUCAGUAUUCAUUACAAAUCUUUUCAACUCCCAUGGAAGUUUGAGGAAAAUAGUGCGUUAUUUUUGAGCCAGGUGUUGCAGUGGGCUUCCGGAGAUAAGAGGUGAGAAGGCACAGACUGGGGAGGGGUCAGACAUAGGUUUACCGUCGCCUUUUAUUUUGAGUGACUUUUAUUCUAAGUGAGUGUACGCCUGCUUUGUCAUGGAGGAAAUACAGGCUAGCAGGUACAAGUUUCUUUUAUUGAAUUUCUUACGCCCCAGUGUAAACUGAAUCGUAAUUGUACUAUGUAGUUCUGUCUUUAAGGGGUCCUAUCCUGUGCUUCCAAGGUCUUGUUUCUCUGACGCUUUCCUGCUUACGUGUGAGUGUUCUAGUGCGCGUGUUUGUGUUUUAUUCAAUUUCCCUUUCUUUCCUAUUGACCUAUGAGCGUGUUUGACAUUUCUCAUUUCGAACCCCCCUUGCUUGGACAGGACCUCAGUCUGUCCACUGUUUCUGUCCUGUUCUUGAAGGUCACGCUCCCUAAUAUAGCAGUCAUUUCUGUUGCUGCUUGGAUCCCCCUCCCCCACCCCUCUAGUGAGAUCUGUCCCAUUCUGUAGCCAAAUAGUGUCGCUAACUUGGAGCUGACCUAGGUCACUUAGUGAUCAUAACACCUGGUAGAUAACAGACCAGUGUCGUUUCCUUUCAAAAUAAGUUGAGUUCUUUUUUGUUUGGAAAACAUUAUUACUAAGUGUUGGGUGUACAUCCAAUCAGGAGGGAUUGGUUUGGUAUAUUUAUUUAUUAUAUAUUGUGUGCCUAGUCUUGUGUCAACUUGACAUACAAGCUAGAGUUAUCUGAGAGGAAGGACCCUCAAUUGAGAAAAAUGCCUUCAUAAGAUUUGCUGUAAGGCAUUCUCUUAAUUAGUGAUUGAUGGGGAAAGGAAUGGGUGGGUCCGUUCCUAGGCAGGUGAUCCUGGAUUCUUUAAGAAAGCGGGCUGAGCAAGCCAUGAGGAGGAAGCCAGGAAGCAGCAUCCCUCCAUGGCUUCUCCAUCAGCUCCUGCCUCCAGGAUCCUGCCCUGUGUGAGUUCCUGUCCUGACUUCCUUCGGUGAUGAACAGUGCUGUGGAAGUAUAAGCCAAAUAAACCCUUUUCUCCCCAACUUGCUUUUUGGUCGUGGUGUUUUUUCGCAGCAGUAGAAACCCUAGGGCAUAUAGGCACACACUGCCAUGUCUGAAUUAUGCCAUGGUAGAGGUCUAACCCAGGAGGGCUUCUUGCAUGCUGGACAAGGUCUCUACGAAGCUGUAAUGCCUGCCUGAGAUGGGCUAUUGAGGUGGCCAUGUAUUUCCUGCUGUCUACUGAAGAGAGAAUAAUGGUGUGUGCUUAAGCUUGUCCUUUAAAAACAUUUAAACAAUGUAUCUCUGUGUGUGUGUCUCUGUCUGUCUGUCUGUCUGUCUGUCCUAGAGUUUGGAAGCAUAGAAUAUCUGGAGGUGAAGUUACAGGUAGUUGUAAGCUGUCUGACAGGCGUUCUGGGAAUAGAACUGUGGGCCUCUGGAAGAGCACUGUGUUCCUAACCACUGAGCCCCUUCUCCAGACCCUAGGCUACUCCGGCUUAUGUGCAUUCUUUCAUUUGAUCCUAUAAUGAUGUAGGGUGUACAUCCAAUCAGGAGGGAUUGGUUUGGUAUAUUUACUUAUUAUCAGCAUAGAGCACUUGGACCUCCCUUGUACCUGUUCAGAGGAAGAAAAUCAACUAACUAUAUACCAACAACCUAAGUGAGGUCUUACAGCCUUGCUGCAGGGCUAGUUUCCUGCCUUUCUUUCUAUCAAUUUUCCAGUAUACUCAAGAAAAUCGGGAAAUUGUAAUGGGGCAAUUAUAUCUCCUGAGACUUUUUGCCUGUUGAAAUGUGCAGGACCCUUUUCCUGUGAUGAGAGAUAGCUGGUUACUUGAUCUAGGUUUAAAAGUUAUG